AUGGCUAUGGAAGGCAGAACCGGUGCAGCCCUCAUCGCGGCGCUCUGCGCCGUGUGCUUGCUGCCGGGUCUGGCCAGGGCGCAGCUCCGGGUGGGGUUCUACCAGAGGAGCUGCCCCAACGCGGAGGCGCUUGUCCGGCAGGCCGUUGCGGCCGCCUUCGCCAAGGACGCCGGAAUCGCCGCCGGCCUCAUCCGCCUUCAUUUCCACGACUGCUUCGUUCGGGGCUGCGAUGCCUCAGUUCUGCUGGCCACCAACCCCGGCGGGGGCAGGACAGAACGGGUGGCUCCUCCGAACAACCCCAGCCUCCGCGGCUUCGAGGUGAUCGACGCGGCCAAGGCCGCGCUCGAACGGAGCUGCCCCCGCACCGUCUCCUGCGCCGACAUCCUCGCCUUCGCCGCGCGCGACAGCAUCACCCUCACCGGCAACGUCGUCUACUCUGUCCCCGCCGGCCGCCGUGACGGCAGCAUCUCUCGCGAGGAGGACGCCAACAACAACCUGCCCCCGCCGACCUUCACCGCGCAGCAGCUCAUCGACCGGUUCCAGAACAAGACCCUAACCGCCGAGGAGAUGGUCCUCCUCUCCGGCGCCCACACCGUCGGCCGCUCCUUCUGCUCCUCCUUCGUGGACCGCAUCUGGAACGGCAACACUCCCAUCGUGGAUGCAGGGCUGAGCCCGUCGUACGCGGCGCAGCUGCGGGUGCUGUGCCCGUCGAACACGUCGCAGGCGACGGCCCCGAUCGACCCGGGCUCGCCCAACGUGCUGGACAACAACUACUACAAGUUGCUGCCGCGCGGCAUGGGGCUCUUCUUCUCCGACAACCAGCUCCGGGUCGACGGGAACCUCAACGUGCUGGUGAACCGCUUCGCGGGGAACGAGACCCUGUGGAAGGAACGCUUCGCGGCCGCCAUGGUGAAGAUGGGCCGCAUCCAGGUGCAGACCGGGAACUGCGGCCAGGUACGGCUCAACUGCAACGUCGUCAACCCGACGUCGUCGUCGGUCAGCCUGGCGGGCUCAGUCGAAGAGGACGGCCUCGUUGCCACGAGCUAG
This 1047-nucleotide ribosomal RNA is filed under the name Triticum aestivum (bread wheat). RNAcentral describes it as "partial small subunit ribosomal RNA". Lineage: Eukaryota; Viridiplantae; Streptophyta; Magnoliopsida; Poales; Poaceae. The record is from RNAcentral.